RNAcentral lists this ribosomal RNA (223 nucleotides) under uncultured bacterium. RNAcentral describes it as "partial 16S ribosomal RNA". It matches the Rfam family "Bacterial small subunit ribosomal RNA", at positions 1279 to 1500 of the family's 1533-position model. The record is from RNAcentral.
AAACCGUACUCAGUUCGGAUUGUAGUCUGCAACUCGACUACAUGAAGCUGGAAUCGCUAGUAAUCGCGAAUCAGAAUGUCGCGGUGAAUACGUUCCCGGGUCUUGUACACACCGCCCGUCACACCAUGGGAGUCGGGAAUGCCCGAAGUCAGUGACCCAACCGGAAGGAGGGAGCUCGCCGAAGGCAGGCUCGAUAACUGGGGUGAAGUCGUAACAAGGUAAC